RNAcentral lists this ribosomal RNA (429 nucleotides) under Chloroflexota bacterium. Its description in RNAcentral is "Chloroflexi bacterium partial 16S ribosomal RNA". It matches the Rfam family "Bacterial small subunit ribosomal RNA", at positions 355 to 776 of the family's 1533-position model. Lineage: Bacteria; Bacillati; Chloroflexota. The record is from RNAcentral.
UGGGGAAUAUUGCACAAUGGGCGCAAGCCUGAUGCAGCCAUGCCGCGUGUAUGAAGAAGGCCUUCGGGUUGUAAAGUACUUUCAGUCGGGAGGAAGGUGUCAAGGUUAAUAACCUUGGCAAUUGCCGUUACCCGCAGAAGAAGCACCGGCUAACUCCGUGCCAGCAGCCGCGGUAAUACGGAGGGUGCAAUCGUUAAUCGGAAUUACUGGGCGUAAAGCGCACGCAGGCGGUUUGUUAAGUCAGAUGUGAAAUCCCCGGGCUCAACCUGGGAACUGCAUUCGAAACUGGCAGGCUAGAGUCGUGUAGAGGGGGGUAGAAUUCCAGGUGUAGCGAUGAAAUGCGUAGAGAUCUGGAGGAAUACCGGUGGCGAAGGCGGCCCCCUGGACAAAGACUGACGCUCAGGUGCGAAAGCGUGGGGAGCAAACAGG